This 1417-nucleotide ribosomal RNA is filed under the name uncultured prokaryote. Its description in RNAcentral is "bacterial SSU rRNA". It matches the Rfam family "Bacterial small subunit ribosomal RNA". The record is from RNAcentral.
CAAGUCGAGCGAACAGAUAAGGAGCUUGCUCCUUUGACGUUAGCGGCGGACGGGUGAGUAACACGUGGGUAACCUACCUAUAAGACUGGGAUAACUUCGGGAAACCGGAGCUAAUACCGGAUAACAUUUGGAACCGCAUGGUUCUAAAGUGAAAGAUGGUUUUGCUAUCACUUAUAGAUGGACCCGCGCCGUAUUAGCUAGUUGGUAAGGUAACGGCUUACCAAGGCGACGAUACGUAGCCGACCUGAGAGGGUGAUCGGCCACACUGGAACUGAGACACGGUCCAGACUCCUACGGGAGGCAGCAGUAGGGAAUCUUCCGCAAUGGGCGAAAGCCUGACGGAGCAACGCCGCGUGAGUGAUGAAGGGUUUCGGCUCGUAAAACUCUGUUAUUAGGGAAGAACAAACGUGUAAGUAACUGUGCACGUCUUGACGGUACCUAAUCAGAAAGCCACGGCUAACUACGUGCCAGCAGCCGCGGUAAUACGUAGGUGGCAAGCGUUAUCCGGAAUUAUUGGGCGUAAAGCGCGCGUAGGCGGUUUCUUAAGUCUGAUGUGAAAGCCCACGGCUCAACCGUGGAGGGUCAUUGGAAACUGGGAAACUUGAGUGCAGAAGAGGAAAGUGGAAUUCCAUGUGUAGCGGUGAAAUGCGCAGAGAUAUGGAGGAACACCAGUGGCGAAGGCGACUUUCUGGUCUGUAACUGACGCUGAUGUGCGAAAGCGUGGGGAUCAAACAGGAUUAGAUACCCUGGUAGUCCACGCCGUAAACGAUGAGUGCUAAGUGUUAGGGGGUUUCCGCCCCUUAGUGCUGCAGCUAACGCAUUAAGCACUCCGCCUGGGGAGUACGACCGCAAGGUUGAAACUCAAAGGAAUUGACGGGGACCCGCACAAGCGGUGGAGCAUGUGGUUUAAUUCGAAGCAACGCGAAGAACCUUACCAAAUCUUGACAUCCUUUGAAAACUCUAGAGAUAGAGCCUUCCCCUUCGGGGGACAAAGUGACAGGUGGUGCAUGGUUGUCGUCAGCUCGUGUCGUGAGAUGUUGGGUUAAGUCCCGCAACGAGCGCAACCCUUAAGCUUAGUUGCCAUCAUUAAGUUGGGCACUCUAGGUUGACUGCCGGUGACAAACCGGAGGAAGGUGGGGAUGACGUCAAAUCAUCAUGCCCCUUAUGAUUUGGGCUACACACGUGCUACAAUGGACAAUACAAAGGGCAGCUAAACCGCGAGGUCAUGCAAAUCCCAUAAAGUUGUUCUCAGUUCGGAUUGUAGUCUGCAACUCGACUACAUGAAGCUGGAAUCGCUAGUAAUCGUAGAUCAGCAUGCUACGGUGAAUACGUUCCCGGGUCUUGUACACACCGCCCGUCACACCACGAGAGUUUGUAACACCCGAAGCCGGUGGAGUAACCAUUUAUGGAGCUAGCC